AGUGGCGGACGGGUGAGUAACGCGUGAGAAUCUGCCUUGGGGUCGGGGACAACCACUGGAAACGGUGGCUAAUACCGGAUAAGCCGAUUGGUGAAAGAUUUAUUGCCCGAAGAGGAGCUCGCGUCUGAUUAGCUAGUUGGUGAGGUAAGAGCUCACCAAGGCAGCGAUCAGUAGCUGGUCUGAGAGGACGAUCAGCCACACUGGGACUGAGACACGGCCCAGACUCCUACGGGAGGCAGCAGUGGGGAAUUUUCCGCAAUGGGCGAAAGCCUAACGGAGCAAGACCGCGUGAGGGAGGAAGGCUCUUGGGUUGUAAACCUCUUUUCUCAGGGAAGAAGCUCUGACGGUACCUGAGGAAUCAGCCUCGGCUAACUCCGUGCCAGCAGCCGCGGUAAUACGGAGGAGGCAAGCGUUAUCCGGAAUUAUUGGGCGUAAAGCGUCCGCAGGUGGCGAUUCAAGUCUGCUGUCAAAGCACGGGGCUUAACUCCGUAAAGGCAGUGGAAACUGAAUAGCUAGAGUGCCGUAGGGGUAGAGGGAAUUCCCGGUGUAGCGGUGAAAUGCGUAGAGAUCGGGAAGAACAUCGGUGGCGAAAGCGCUCUACUGGACGGCAACUGACACUCAGGGACGAAAGCUAGGGGAGCGAAUGGGAUUAGAUACCCC
RNAcentral lists this ribosomal RNA (660 nucleotides) under uncultured bacterium. Its description in RNAcentral is "bacterial SSU rRNA". It matches the Rfam family "Bacterial small subunit ribosomal RNA", at positions 94 to 788 of the family's 1533-position model. The record is from RNAcentral.